RNAcentral lists this long non-coding RNA (206 nucleotides) under Sorghum bicolor (sorghum). RNAcentral's name for it is "long non-coding RNA (SBIC_LNC006672)". The record is from RNAcentral. Lineage: Eukaryota; Viridiplantae; Streptophyta; Magnoliopsida; Poales; Poaceae.
UGUGACUAGAUUAAUGUUAAGGAAUAAAUGAUAAAAAUGACUUUUUAGCCACUUGAUGAUUUAUCUGUAAGUGAUAACCGGGACAACAGUGCAACCAUGAGGGCUAUAAUGGCUCUGGCUUUAGCUCAGUAUGAAGACCUUUUCUAGCUUGUUAGAGGUUACCCGAAAGGGCGCUAGAGGGGCUGAACCGACACGGGUAUAGUGCG